RNAcentral lists this long non-coding RNA (1143 nucleotides) under Sorghum bicolor (sorghum). Its description in RNAcentral is "long non-coding RNA (SBIC_LNC015373)". Lineage: Eukaryota; Viridiplantae; Streptophyta; Magnoliopsida; Poales; Poaceae. The record is from RNAcentral.
UGUCCGUGUUUUUUUUCCAUGAACCAUCUGUUGUUUCCGUUUCUUUCACAUUUCUUUUUUUCGGUUUCCUCUUCCCACCAUUACGUGACUUUUUUCUCUUUUUAUCUCAUUAUUUCUUAUAUAAAUAUAUUAUGAGUUUCCUAUUUAUUUAACUUUACAAAAUGCGCUUACGUCCUCUGUGUACCGUAUGUGAGUCUAUACUUAUGGUUGGUGCUCAUACAAGUAAGCAUAACUUGCAUUUUUUAAAUUUUUUAUCUUCCACUUUUUCUUAUAAACAAAAAAUAAUAAAUAAUAAAUAAAUUAUAAGUAUCCUAUUUCUUUUACUUUCCAAAACGCGCUCACACCCUCCAUGUCCUAUAUGAUAGUUCAGACUAAUGAUUUGUGCUCAUACAAAUAACCACAAUUCGCAUUUACCAACCCAUGGGCACAAUUGCUAGCACUAAACAAAAAUUGUUAAUGGUCUACCUUGGAUCGGUGAGACGCGCAAAAUCUAUAUAAUACCGGAGUAAGUGAGUACUUUGUCGACAUAUUCUUAGGUCUUAUUAUUUUUCUCUUCCUAAGUAUAGUUUGAUAUAUAUUUUUUUUAUAGUUUUUUGUAUUUCUAUUUUUCCUAGCAAAAACUCAGACACGUGAUGGAUCGCACGUUUGUGUCCUGGCAAGAGAAAGAAGAGCCACUUAGCAUUGGAGGUCACAGUUCCAAGAGAGAAUUCACUGACAAAUAGGCGUAUAAGAGGGUUUGAGUUGAUGGUCACAACAUGGCGAUGAUGGUGGUCGAGACAACAUGGGAACCGCUCGUCGGGGCAAUGGGAAUUUGCGUAGGGCUAGCGGCGGGGGCGUCGUGCUAGAGUGGUAGGCAGAAGUCUUGUGGUUAGGGUAGAACGUCAUGGGAGGUUGGUGGGGUAGUGAUCCUAUGUGAGAUGCCGACUGUGGAUGCUAGAAGCCUAAUAGCGAGGGCAGCAGCUGAGGGGUGCAUGAGGCAGUGUACACUGUACACAAAGCGAGAGCAUGAUUAGAGACAACAUCGGUAAGGAGGAAGAAGGAUAAUGCAGUCUCCAACCACGCGACUCUUCUCCCGUAGCAAUGCACUCGUAUAUUUCCUACUUAUACACAUGAAUACUAAUAAUUUAUUAUAUAUAUUUGGUU